Molecule: unclassified non-coding RNA, 2697 nt
Filed under: Leishmania donovani
Lineage: Eukaryota; Euglenozoa; Kinetoplastea; Trypanosomatida; Trypanosomatidae
Description: gene:LdHU3.06.0220(CDS-product:kinesin-like_prote in)
Source: RNAcentral
UGGGCUGAACGACGCCAGGCGGUGUUGGUCAGCCCUGUUUCCCUUGGCAUUGCAGCCGUGCCACAGAGGCAGGUGAGCUGCAGUCGUGCAUGCGCGCGAGUAUCAACUUGCUCGCUGUGGCGUGACGCGUUGAAGAAACAAAGAGACGCACUCAACCUUUUCUGCGUUGCUCUGCACAUUCGGCUGUGGCGGCGGUGCGCCUUCUCGUAAAACGUAUCGAGGACGAAAGACGGAGGGCGGACUGCGUGACGGGGGAAGAGGGAAGAGCGCAGGAGGGGGUGGGUGGGCUCAGCGAUCAACUGACCUUCGUCGACGUCACUCACAGCCGAACACGAACGACCACGUCUGUACAGUAGCCGUACCACAGGCAGUCCUUCGACGCUCCCCCACACCUAUACAUAGGCGUGCGACGAGGCGCACAGGCCAGGCCCACGUCAAACCAUAUCGACUUCGGGCAGGAUGAUAACACGGCGUGGCUCGCGCCUCAGCUCCGUCACUGAAGGCAACACGGAUGGACCUAGUAGCAUCUCUGCAGUGGCGACCACUGGCCCCUCCACUGCUUCGGUCGUUCCAUUGCCUCCGCCACCGCCGCCGACUCGUGUGAAGGCUGCGGUACGUGUCCGCCCCUUGAUGGAGACGGAGAUGGCACCCGCACCAAGCGCAUCGCCACCGACACAGCUGCAGGGCGACUGCCACAUGCGCGACACCGGCGGGACGAAGUCGUCGUAUUCCGAAGUCAUUCGUGUGGUCACAGCUGCGGGCCGACUCACGCGACCCAUGUCUAGCCCGUACAUGCUGGAGGUGCUGCGGCCGCCGGCCGGGGGGGCCGGACAUGGACGCAGCGCUCAUCGGCCCUCCAUGCCUACCCGUCAAUCACCACCGCAUAGCCUCGGGAACGGCGGCGGUGGCGGCGGGGGUAGUAGCGAGACAGCGAGGGUCUACGCCUUUGACUACUGCGCCGGCCCCAGCACGACGCAGGAGGAGUUCUUCGACAUGUUGGAGAUGCCGGCGCUGUGCGAGGCGGCGCUUGCGGGUGAGGUGGUGACGGUACUUUGCUUUGGGCAAACCGGCAGCGGCAAGACGUACUCGCUGAGCGGGCGGACGCUCCCCGCGCCGGCGACUGCGGGGCCCGUCUCCGACGCCCCUACGCCGCUGGUCGCCGAGGAUGGGCUGCAGUACCAGGCUGUGCACUACAUCGCGCGUCGACUCAAGGAGCUGCGUCGGACGUCAAGGAAGCUCAAGAGCAAGCGCAGAGACAGCGACGGCGCCGGAAAGGGCUCAGCUGAUCGCGGCGAUGAUGGUGGCGUCAGCGGCGCGUCUGUUGGAGCUUCUGCCUCCGCGGCCACGGUGGUGACGGCGAAGUGCUCCUACGUCGAACUUUACCAAGAGUCCCUCUACGACUUGCUCCAACCAGAUGGUGGCGACGGGGUGCGGUGCCGCUGGUCGGCCGCAGCCUCGUCUUUCUUCGUAGAGGGCUCACUGAUGGUGGAGUGCCGCGGCCGCGAGGACUUCCUGCUGGUGCUGCGCGAGGGACAGCGAAAUCGGCAGCGCGGCAGCCACGCACUCAACCUGGACAGCAGCCGCUCGCACGUCGUCUUCACCGUCUUCUUCGAAGUGCGAGACGAGGCGGCCGCUGCAACCUCUGCGGAGGGUGUCGACAGUGACGGCGCACCGUCGUCCUCGCCGCCGCCUGGCGCCUCAGCUCCCCUCUCGUCCAUCCGGUACGGGCGACUCGUCUUUGUGGAUCUUGCUGGAUCGGAGCGUCUCAAGAAGACGCUUUCGGCCAGCAAUGCGGAGGCGGGGUCUAUCAACAAGUCCCUCUUCACCCUCGGUCGUGUGCUGGAGCUCCUCUCCGCCUCGCCGCCUGCACCGUCCGAUGCUAUGCCACCGGCGAAGGCGUCAACGCAGCCGCCGCCAUUCAUUCCCUACCGUUCAAGCGUUCUCACUCAGCUCCUCAUGCACAGCCUGGAUGGGCACGGCCGAACCGUGAUGGUCGCCUGCGUGAGUCCGAGCGCGCUGCACCUCGAGGAGUCUCUGCGCACGCUCCACUACGCGGAGCGGGCGCGCCACAUUCGCGCGACACCGGUCGUGCACGUCGACGCCGCGACGCAGGCGCGGAUGGCGCUUGAGGAGAAGGUGCAGGAACUGCGGAAGGAGAAUGCGCUGCUGCGCCGCGCGCUGGGGCUUCCGCGAGUCGGCAAAUUGCAGGACGGGCAAGUUGAGGCUCGGCUGGAGGAGCUACAUCGUGCGUGGGCCGCGGCUCAGUUUGCCACACCUCCACAUGAGGUACCGCCACGCAGUGCCGCAGCUCCUCCACGGCUGUCCUCGACUCCACGGAAGGGCUCGCCGCCACAACAGCGACGGGCGACGCGGGUGAGUCCGUCUCGCCCUGCCGUGCCAUUCGUGUCGAAUGGGGCCACUGCUGCGUCAGGCGCAGUUGACCUGCGGACAUCAUCACCGCAGACGGUGGUGAUGUCCUCCACGGAGAGCGAAGCGGAUGAUGGGUCGCCAAGCGCUACGGGCAACGCCGAUCUACCGUCGAGUGUCCCGCGAGCCGCCGCGGUGAGCAUCUUGGACCUGCUGGAGGCGCUGCCGGACACACGGUCGAUGCACACAUAGUAAGUGUAAGCGCAGCUGUCUGUCGCUGCUGGUGCGUGCGCCUCUGCACCGACCCGCACACGUCUUUCCCCCUGUUGG